This is a non-coding RNA of Desertifilum sp., 37 nucleotides long. The record is from Rfam. Lineage: Bacteria; Bacillati; Cyanobacteriota; Cyanophyceae; Desertifilales; Desertifilaceae.
AUUGCAAUUACUCCUAAUCCCUAUUAGGGAUUGAAAC